Molecule: ribosomal RNA, 433 nt
Filed under: uncultured bacterium
Lineage: Bacteria
Description: partial 16S ribosomal RNA
Rfam family: Bacterial small subunit ribosomal RNA
Source: RNAcentral
AACGAACGCUGGCGGCAUGCCUAACACAUGCAAGUCGAACGAGACCUUCUGGUCUAGUGGCGCACGGGUGCGUAACGCGUUGGAACCUGCCUUUAGGUUCGGAAUAACUCAGAGAAAUUUGAGCUAAUAACGGAUGAUGUCUUCGGACAAAAGAUUUAUCGCCUUUAGAUGGGCCCGCGUUUGAGUAGCUAGUUGGGGGGGUAAAGGUCUACCACGGCGAAGAUCCAGAGCUCGUCUGAGAGGAUGAUCAGACACACUGGGACUGAGACACGGCCCAGACUCCUACGGGAGGCAGGAGUGGGGAAUAUUGGAAAAUGGGAGAGAGCCUGAGCCCGCAAUGCCGCGGGAGUGAUGAAGGCAUUAGGGUUGUAAAGCUCUUUUACCCGAGAAGAUAAUGACAGUAGCGGGAGAAUAAGCUUCGGCUAACUCCGUG